GAUGAACGCUGGCGGCGUGCCUAAUACAUGCAAGUAGAACGCUGAAGGAGGAGCUUGCUCUUCUGGAUGAGUUGCGAACGGGUGAGUAACGCGUAGGUAACCUGCCUGGUAGCGGGGGAUAACUAUUGGAAACGAUAGCUAAUACCGCAUGACAACAGUUAUUGCAUGAUAACUGUUUAAAAGGGGCAACUGCUCCACUACCAGAUGGACCUGCGUUGUAUUAGCUAGUUGGUGAGGUAACGGCUCACCAAGGCGACGAUACAUAGCCGACCUGAGAGGGUGAUCGGCCACACUGGGACGGAGACACGGCCCAGACUCCUACGGGAGGCAGCAGUAGGGAAUCUUCGGCAAUGGACGGAAGUCUGACCGAGCAACGCCGCGUGAGUGAAGAAGGUUUUCGGAUCGUAAAGCUCUGUUGUAAGAGAAGAACGAGUGUGAGAGUGGAAAGUUCACACUGUGACGGUAUCUUACCAGAAAGAGACGGCUAACUACGUG
Molecule: ribosomal RNA, 495 nt
Filed under: uncultured bacterium
Lineage: Bacteria
Description: partial 16S ribosomal RNA
Rfam family: Bacterial small subunit ribosomal RNA
Source: RNAcentral